Leptonychotes weddellii (Weddell seal) is the source of this 1090-nucleotide non-coding RNA. NCBI's taxonomy places the organism in Eukaryota, Metazoa, Chordata, Mammalia, Carnivora, Phocidae. The record is from RefSeq and is a predicted model, not a curated record.
CGGGGAGGGGGGCAGAGCAGCCCUGGAGAGACCAGGUGACAGGGCCCGGGAGGAGGGCCGAUCCGCAGGGACUCCGGUGAGCACGGAGCAUGCUGCUUGGCCUUUCAACACAGAAUGUGGCUCAGUUCGAGACAAGUUUCGCGGUCCUCUACCCAUCUUCGAGUGUCCAGGAACAGGGGCGCUCAGUGCGGUGACCCAAGCUGCUGACUGCCUUCACCCAGGGCUGGAAGGGCUGAGUCUGGAGGCCAGGCCAGGCCAGGAGGCAGUCCUUCUUCACCUUUCUAGCAACGCCACGGGCAGCCCUGCUCAGGAACCCUUCACUGCUGUACCAACUGUGAGCAGCAGAGGGCAGCAAAACACACCCAUGCAGACAGAACUCACCUACGGGAUUUCACAUGAGCCACACUUACAGCAACUCUUGGGCACUUGCUUGCCAGUCUCCUGAGUUUUGUGUUGGUAAAUGGUUCCUGCCGGAGCUGCAAUGUACAAACAAGAGGCCAUUCUGGCCUCUUCUCUAGAACUCUCCAGGUGUGGUUGUCUGCCACAUGAGCCUGGAAGUCUUGUCGUGUCUGUACAGAUGAAACCAAGACUCGGGCACAGCAAUUCAACCUAUUUCCUCCUGGGUUUUCGGGAAAUGGUGACCGGGCUCCCACCUGGAAACCUUCCAUAUCAUGAGGGAGACAGGAGAAUCAUGUGAAGGUUCUGGACACAGGCAUGUCUGUGCUCUGGUCUCAGCUUUGUCACUUAGUAGCUGAGAGGUUUUUAGUAAGUUACUUGUGUAUUCCGGUUCUUCGUUCACAAAAUGAGGAUAUACCUACUUCACUGUAUGGCUGGGAUAAUAAUUCAUAUUUAUUAAAACAUUUGUCAUGUGUCAGGUACUAUUUUAAGACUUGGUGAUCUGGUAAAUACAAUUCUUCACACGGGGGUGACAGACAACGGAGGAACAAGGUAGUUUCAGAUAGUGGUGAGUAGUAGAUGGACAGUUAGAAACUGCUAGAGUGGUAGAUGGACAGUUAGAAACUGCUGUGGCGCAGAUGCUUGAGUUGAUGCCUCGGACGAGGGGAGCGGGUCGGGGAGGACGGACAGGCAA